RNAcentral lists this long non-coding RNA (236 nucleotides) under Lathyrus oleraceus (garden pea). Its description in RNAcentral is "Pisum sativum (pea) long non-coding RNA (PSAT_LNC019520)". The record is from RNAcentral. Lineage: Eukaryota; Viridiplantae; Streptophyta; Magnoliopsida; Fabales; Fabaceae.
UCGCCUGAAAAGGCUCUCUUGACAACGUUCGGACGUUUGUAGCUUGUAAAGUCCACUUGCCCCUGGAAUCGGGUGCAAAAGACAAGACUUUCCUGAGCACGAGGUCACCUUCUCGGAACACACGAGACUUGACCUUCUUAUCGAAUGCUUUCUGACCAUAAAACAUGGCAGUUGAUCUUUUGUUUUUGCUUGAAUUCAGCAUCAGUCAACUUGGGACUUUGAGGGUGCUAUCUUUU